Lolium perenne is the source of this 3214-nucleotide long non-coding RNA. RefSeq lists it as uncharacterized. Lineage: Eukaryota; Viridiplantae; Streptophyta; Magnoliopsida; Poales; Poaceae. The record is from RefSeq and is a predicted model, not a curated record.
GAUUGGGCAGAGAUGAAGAAGUUCUUGGAUGCAUUAAAGAAGGUACUUGGAAUCUUGAUUGGAGUGAUUGGCAUGGGACUAUAUUCAUACUUGUGUACCCACUGAAGCCUCUCCACAAGUCACUCAGGUCCUUGCCAAGGUUUUGGUCUGCUCAAAGAGGACAUGAACUGAACCACAAGCGAGCAGGCUGAGCAUUUUGCAUGACCUCCAAGCUAUAGCAGAUCACAAUGGUUUGGAUCCUUGAUGUUGCUACCGCUGACUUUGAUCUAUAUCUUUAUUCCCUAGGUUGCACUCAACGUAGACUGUAGAGUAUUGUGGUCACAAACUAUUGCGUAUCCUUGUUAUCUGGGAUUUCUUGCAGAGAUGGACACGAAAUGGUGAUGCCACACAAUGAAUUCUAUUUUGGUUUUGGCGGAAAUUAUAUCCAGGCUUAGCUCUCUAGCACGAAACAAUUUCUUUUCCAUUUAGAUACAUUUUUAUGGUUCAUGACCAUCUGAUUUUACUCUCGGACAAUUUUUUCCAGGUGUAUUUUGGAGGAAGAAGAUGGAAGUUCUUAUUGUUUGGCACGUGAGGUACUGAUUGAAACAGCUACUUUGAAUACAUAUGAUGCUUCAUUUUGCCAUUGGGAAGAACUGAGAGGUAUUUGAGAGGUGGUUUGAUCUACAAUGGUGUGUAUCCCUUAAGUGUUGCCUCACGUGACAUACUUUGACCCAAAGGAGACCGAUUCCACCUUAUCGAGGUGAUCUUUUUUGCAUCAACCUUAUUUCUGACAUGAUUGGGACCUCCUUACGGUCUUGUGAGGUAGAUUAGGUGUAUUAACCUAAGGAGGAGCUAUAGGGGUAAACCAUGAGAUUCUUCUAACCAUCCGCCUAUGAAAGGAUUUCUUGAUAUGUUAUAACAAUAUUAACCCUUCUAUUUUUCUCUUUACUUCUGCCUUUUUUUUUUUUGCUUCUCUGCAUAUUCCUUUACAAUAUAAUUUUAUAUCAUCAUUCACUUGUUCCUGUAUAUUUUGCAUCUAAAAGAUUAGGUGUGAGAUUGCAACUAAGUUGAUAUACGUUUGUGUUCCAACAUUGAUAUUUUCAUUAGUGGACUUAUUAGUGGUUAUCGGACGGAACUAAAUAAGAAAUAUAUUAUUCCCUGCUUGGUAUUGGUUCAUUUUAUUUAUAAGAACAACUGUAUAUAUGAUUCCUGUAGGCACUUUUUGAUAUCUCAUAAUUUUGUUCCUGGUGAUGAUUAAUUACUGGAAUAUAUAAUAAGUUGUUUAUGUUAAUAAUUGGCACUUACUUGCUUUCUGAUCUUUGAAAACUUUUCUUGCCAUAAAUGAUGCCUCUUUUGUUGCUAUGCUAGAUUCUGGAUUGUUAUUUUGUUUUAUCAAAUGAUAUCACUGUAAAUUCAGAUAAUGAUGGUAAGGUUUCAGGUAAUACACAUUAUAACAUUAGAAAUUGACAUCCUGAUAUUGGUCGUGUAACUGGGGACUGAGAUCUCUAUGAUAAUUUGUCACUUCAGGUUGAUGUCCAUGACUAGAAUUAUAUUACUCCCUCCGAUCCAUAUUAAUUGACUUCAAUAUGGAUGUAUCUAGAACUAAAAUGUGUCUAGAUACAUUCAUAUUAGAGUCAAUUAAUAUGAACCGGAGGGAGUAGCAAAAACGAGGCCUAUUUCUUAUAUAUGUUUUAUGUGUGUAAAUGCCCCCUCAGUUCUUGUUUGUUCUGCAUACAUUUGUCUUGAUAUUGUUAAACAAACUAUUCAUGAGAUGUUGGUUUGUUCAGGUGUACAUCUGCGGUGAGCAGUUAGUUCAGGUCACUAUAGUUAAAAAAAUUAGUUCAGGCUAUUGCCUUAACAAAGAUUAGCGGAUCCCAUUCCAGGCCGUUUCCUUUACAAAAAUAUUAUGUGGCCUAAUUCCACUUUCCAUAAUAUAUGCUCCUUUGUUUAUGAUAAGACAAUAAUACUUGAAUUAUUAGGCAUUCUUGAUGUAUCCUUUCUUUUGGUGUGUACUGUGUUCUUUUGUUAUGACUAUUACUUCUGCUAUGUUAGGAGUGGAUAUUAGAGCAGUAGGUGGAGGGAGGCUGAACUUGCUAGCCAGAGGAAUGAAGUAGACACUUACUUUUUAUUGCACCAUUAUAUUUACAACAUAGGUCUUUAUUAGCUAUUGUGAGUAUUAAUGCCACUUCAUACUUUUAGACAUUUACAAACAGAAGCUUCAGCAGUUUGUAGCUGACAGACAAUCGAGCAAGGAUGAAACAAAAGCUUUUCUGGCAUUCCAAGUGUGUCUCUGCAUUCCUCAAGUAGUUGUCGAUACUGCUCAUGCUGACAUAUGCAGCCAGUUGUUUCCAAAGGUGAAACAUUUUAUGUUGUUUUUGUGGAAAUAAAUCUACAUAACCAAGCAUAGUAAAAUUAGCUUAUCCCGAAGUUGAACUAAUCAAUUGGAUAACAAGAUGUUCCAUUGUUUAUAUUUGGAAUAUUGGUUUAUCUUUUAUUUUGUUCAACUUAGCAGUGCAAAUCCGAAACAAGUGAAUCAAAGGUAUGGUGUUGUGUUUGUGUUGCUGACUUUACUUCAGUUUAAAGCCAGAUCCUUGCUUUUGGGUAUAUACACAAAAUUGAAGAUGAAUCUUUCAGCAAUUGCCAGUUCAGACAAAUGGUAUUUUUAUAUGUUCAAGUUGUCUGCUCUUUUUUUAAUCUGAAGUACAGAAUCUCAGGCUAUAACCGUAACCCAUUGGUUGAAUUGGAAGUUUCAGACUUUGUAACUCUGAGGUUAACUUAUGGUGUAAGUUACUAGGUAAUUUUUAUCUUCUUUUACCACAUGAACAAUAUUGCAGCAGUGAAUACAUCUUUAUGCCUAUAUGUUAGCCUUUUUUUAUUUUAGAAAGGCAGUAAGGCACAUCAAAAGCCAGGUCAGACUCUUAAUCAGGUUGGCAUUUACUUCCCAAAGCCAGGGUCAGACUCUUAAUCAGGUUGGCGUUUUCACAUGGGCAGUUUUAUGUGCCAUUUCAAGGGUAACAUCAAGAGAAGGGAUGGAAGUGCUAGCGCCUGAUGAAUCUGGUUUUUGGUGGCUGUAAGGCUUGGCUGGAUGCUCAUCAACUUCUAGGUUCACAAAGAUGUACAUAGUCAUUGUUUAGUUUUGUGUACAUUUCCAAGCAGUGGCCUAACUAACUUCUCUGUAUAUCUGUUCUGUGCUGUGUAUUCUGCUGUGUAUCUGGGAUGGGCAGAUUUAUAUAAA